CCUACGGGAGGCAGCAGUGGGGAAUAUUGCACAAUGGGGGAAACCCUGAUGCAGCAACGCCGCGUGAGUGAAGAAGUCUUUCGGUAUGUAAAGCUCUAUCAGCAGGGAAGAAGAUGACGGUACCAGAUCAAGAAGCCGCGGCUAACUACGAGCAAGCAGCCGCGGGUAUACGUAGGGGGGCAGCGUUAUCCGGAUUUAUGGGGGUUAAAGCGAGCGCAGUCGGCAGUGCAAGUCUGGAGUUAAAGCCCGGGGCCCAACCCCGGAACUGCUGUGGAAACUGGGCGGCUAGAGUGCUGGAGGGGCAGGCGGAAUGCGUAGUGUAGCGGUGAAAUGCGUAGAUAUUAGGAGGAACACCAGUGGCGAAGGCAGCCUGCUGGACAGUAACUGACGUUGAGGCUCGAAAGCGUGGGGAGCAAACAGGAUUAGAUACCCUAGUAGUC
This 440-nucleotide ribosomal RNA is filed under the name uncultured bacterium. RNAcentral describes it as "partial 16S ribosomal RNA". It matches the Rfam family "Bacterial small subunit ribosomal RNA", at positions 338 to 795 of the family's 1533-position model. The record is from RNAcentral.